UACGAAGGGGGCUAGCGUUGUUCGGAAUUACUGGGCGUAAAGCGUGCGCAGGCGGCUUUGCAAGACAGAUGUGAAAUCCCCGGGCUUAACCUGGGAACUGCAUUUGUGACUGCAUGGCUAGAGUGCGGCAGAGGGGGAUGGAAUUCCGCGUGUAGCAGUGAAAUGCGAAGAUAUGCGGAGGAACACCGAUGGCGAAGGCAAUCCCCUGGGCCUGCACUGACGCUCAUGCACGAAAGCGUGGGGAGCAAGCAGG
RNAcentral lists this ribosomal RNA (253 nucleotides) under uncultured bacterium. RNAcentral's name for it is "partial 16S ribosomal RNA". It matches the Rfam family "Bacterial small subunit ribosomal RNA", at positions 524 to 776 of the family's 1533-position model. The record is from RNAcentral.